CUUCUGUGAUGAGUUGCCAUGCUAAUACUGGGACACAGGGUAAGGGAUUUUACCCUGCAUUGUGUGUUACUGAUGUAAAUUCUGCCUGUCAAGUGUACCUAGGGGC
Molecule: small nucleolar RNA, 106 nt
Filed under: Procavia capensis (Cape rock hyrax)
Lineage: Eukaryota; Metazoa; Chordata; Mammalia; Hyracoidea; Procaviidae
Source: RNAcentral